AUUGAACGCUGGCGGCAGGCCUAACACAUGCAAGUCGAACGAGUGGCGGACGGGUGAGUCAUGUCUGGGAAACUGCCCGAUGGAGGGGGAUAACUACUGGAAACAGUAGCUAAUACCGCAUACCAUCGGAUGUGCCCAGAUGGGAUUAGCUAGUAGGGGGGGUAACGGCUCACCUAGGCGACGAUCCCUAGCUGGUCUGAGAGGAGGACCAGCCACACUGGAACGGAGACACGGACCAGACUCCUACGGGAGGCAGCAGUGGGGAAUAUUGCACAAUGGGCGCAAGCCUGAUGCAGCCAUGCCGCGUGUAUGAAGAAGGCCUUCGGGUUGUAAAGUACUUUCAGCGGGGAGGCGGUACUCGCAGAAGAAGCACCGGCUAACUCCGUGCCAGCAGCCGCGGUAAUUC
This 406-nucleotide ribosomal RNA is filed under the name uncultured bacterium. RNAcentral's name for it is "partial 16S ribosomal RNA". It matches the Rfam family "Bacterial small subunit ribosomal RNA", at positions 29 to 526 of the family's 1533-position model. The record is from RNAcentral.